UACGUAGGCAGCAAGCGUUGUUCGGAGUUACUGGGCGUAAAGAGUGCGUAGGCGGUCCUCUAAGUUCGGUGUGAAAUCUCCCGGCUCAACUGGGAGGGUGCGCCGGAAACUGGAGGGCUUGAGUAUGGGAGAGGAAAGCGGAAUUCCUGGUGUAGCGGUGAAAUGCGUAGAUAUCAGGAGGAACACCUGUGGUGUAGACGGCUUUCUGGACCAUGACUGACGCUGAGGCACGAAAGCGUGGGGAGCAAACAGG
This 253-nucleotide ribosomal RNA is filed under the name uncultured bacterium. RNAcentral describes it as "partial 16S ribosomal RNA". It matches the Rfam family "Bacterial small subunit ribosomal RNA", at positions 524 to 776 of the family's 1533-position model. The record is from RNAcentral.